UCCUGCAGUCAACAAUCCUCUUAUACCACUUCUGUCACACCCAGUUUUAAGGGACAAAGUCGGGUGCAUCUCAUACAUGCGUCAAAGAAGACAACACAUAUAAUAACAGAGUGUAUAGAGAUAAAUGUCACAAUAAUCAGAGUACUUAUUACAUAGCGGAAGUCUUUACAAAAUAAAAGAUAAAUAUAACAGGAUCUAAAAUCCAUCCUUGGCGCUAGAAAGUCAACUGGGAGACGACGACCUAGACCUCUCACGAACACAGGACACAGCGCAACAUCCACCAUGCGCCUCAUCCAGUGGUACCUGUCUUUGACCUGUGGGGGUGUGAGACAGCAAGGGUGAGCUCACACAUGUUCAUCGCUUAACAAGUUGUGGGGAAUAAUGUGGCGUGAACUCACCAAAGGUGGGAGUUCACGUGAUGUGUAAAGCUGAUCAACAAUAAGGGUUAAAGCUGAGCAUUGCUUUUAAUAAGUUGGUCAAAUUUUAUUAGCAAUUACUAAAUGUAAGUAAAUACCAAACCAUAAUAAAUAAUAGAACAAAAUUAAUAAAUAAUCCCAUGCAAAUGCAAAUGACAAAUUGAAUUUAGGUUCCAUAUAUUAAUCAUGUCAGGGUCCGAGCCGCUCAUAACCGUGAGCACAGCUAGUAUACCAGUUUUACACUCUGCAAAGGUUGCGCAUCUUUACCCACAAGUCAUGUUACCCAUCUGCCAAGGGGUCAUGAAUCACAUACACCUCUACCAAGGAAGCGAGGCAGGGUAACACUAUGAGGCCUUUACAAAGUUCCACUAGCUUCAGGAAAACCCGCUAUAGUUUAUAGGAAGCUCCAGUGCAGGAAUCCCUCUCCUGACCACCAUCGCAGCAAAAUCAACCCAAGGACCUCCCUACACUGACCACUCCCCUACUGCCCUUGCCCCUUUCGGGUAAGGUAGUCAUCCACUAACUUUCCUAAUUAAUCAGCCAAGGGCGUCCCAUUAAACCCUUGUGGUAGCACUAUUUUCCCGGAUGGUCGCUCCAUGUUCCAAUUAACAUAAUGAUCUUAUCAUGAACAUAAAUAACAUAACAGAAUAAUUGGAACAUGGAUAUAAUGAAUUAUUAACCCAAAACCAUAUAAAGCAAUAUCAUAGCUACUCAAUUGAUUCAGGGGUAAGCAAGGUAAAAUGGAUAAAUACACUAGGGUGACCUAUUGGGUCCCAUCAAAAUUAAACCUAUGCAUUGAAUAGUGAUAAUAAAGAAUAUUAUUGGGUAACAAAAGUGGAUCAAGGGCACAACUUGCUUGGCACUUGAGAUUCUAGUUACCAGGAUGAUUCCUCAUAUGACUCGUGACCGCACUGCUAGUCGUAGCAAUACAAAGAGACAUGGUAUAGACAAAAUUAACAUCACACCAAACAUCAAACAUAAGUACAAACUGAAUAAUAAUGAUCUACGCGUUGCUACAAGAUCGUGGGAUCGAGAACUACUAAGAUCAGAGUUAUGAUUAAGGAGUUAUGAUUUUAUAAAAGAUCUGUGUGAUUAAAAUAUUAAACUAUAUUAUAAAUCAUAUGAGAGGUUAUUCUAUAACUAAUUAUCUUCAACUUUAAUCUAAGUUAUAAAUUGACCAUAUAUCAUAUUCUAGUAGAUUAUAAUGAUAAGCAGUUUAACCAACAUAAAUUAAAUAAAGAUCUAAUUAUAAGAGAAUGGGACAUGGUGUGAUAAAUAUUGUUAUUGCAUAGUAAAUAUUUAUACGAGACUAACGCAACUUGAACGGAUCAAAUCGGAGUUACGGAUUGUAAGUUAUGAAUUUCUAAUGAGUUUAUGUGUUUUGCCCAAGAUUAAAUAGGAUAUAAAUUUUAAUAUGACUUUCAUGAGAAAACAGUAGUGCUAGAUAAUAAACCAUAGUAUUACAAAAUUACAGGAACUGGAAUGGACUAAAAAGAAGUUAGUAUGAAUUUUCUAUGAAUAAAAUGAGUUUCUGGAAUUAUUUAUAUACUAGAAAUCAUUUUCUAUAAUUAUUUAUUUAUUUUCACUGCUCUCUAGACCUGGCGCACAAAAACAGAGAACAACAGGGACCUAAAUCACAAUUUCUCUAUGACUCAGGCUACUAUUCACUGGAUGGCGGGUUGAUUCCAUUAAAAUCCGAGGACUCUUAAGUAAAACGCCCAGGCCAAAGGGAUAUUCUUUGCACUGGCCCGUUCGAUCAGGAACCUAGGGCUAUGAUUAGAUCUCAGAUGCUGUGAACCGGAACACACGAGAUCCACAGGAUCCCAGAUAAAGAGCUGAGAUUUAAUGCGUGCGUGAUCUUUUCCCCGCCCUGCAUCUGCGAUCUAACGGCCAUCCUUUGCUCACCCCGAAACGAUGACAUUGACCAGAUCUACAACGUUGCACACCGAUCCAACGGUCAUGGUUCCAUCUGCGAAGCAGUACGCCCUUGUUCCAAUCUGGACGCUGGUUUAUGGAUCUACGGCUACCACUCAUCUUCUAGCUCCUGACACCGAGUCCCGACGACCAACAAGAGCACCGUGGCGGCGCCAGGACCGGCCACCUCUACCAACUACCAUGCAACCCCAAUGCCCCAAACUCAACGCAAUCAGGUGCUAACCUACACAGAAUCGAUGGCUAACACGCUUACACGCGGGAGGAGGACAUACUGGCGAGCGGUGAUGGCGCAGCAGAGACCCCCGGCCACGCAACACGGCGGAUACAUGGAGGAGUUCACACCCUGGUUGACCAAAUUAUGGGCUCUCGAUCGCCAAACCUUCACAGAGAGAACCCAGGUAAUGUCCUCGGGGCGCGGCGAGGCUUCUAAGCUCGAUCCCCACGACGAAUUGACGGAUUGUCCUCGGCAACGAGUCGAGUUCCAGUCGCACGAUGACGCAACGAGCAUGCUCAGCGCUCCAUGGCGGGCACCGCACACGGACCGUACGAGUCCGGGGAACGCCGCAGGUGCACGACGACGGCGGCCAACACCCUGGUUCUCUCUCUACGACGGAACUCCCCUGGGCGGUACUGCAGCGGCUAGGGCACGAGCUCCUCUUUCUCUCUCACGGGUGACAGCGCGUUUCUCUCUCCCUCCCUUCCUCUUCAUGGCGCCUACGGCUCCAAGAUAUGGUCUCGACUGGGUGGAA
This 3100-nucleotide long non-coding RNA is filed under the name Zea mays. RNAcentral describes it as "long non-coding RNA (ZMAY_LNC002113)". Lineage: Eukaryota; Viridiplantae; Streptophyta; Magnoliopsida; Poales; Poaceae. The record is from RNAcentral.